AGACUGCAGGCUGCAACUCGCCUGCACGAAGUCGGAAUUGCUAGUAAUCGUAGGUCAGCAUACUACGGUGAAUACGUUCCCGGGCCUUGUACACACCGCCCGUCACACCAUGGGAGUCGAUAACGCCCGAAGUCAGUGACCCAACCGAGAGGAGGGAGCUGCCGAAGGCGGGAUGGAUAACUGGGGUGAAGUCGUAACAAGGUAUC
This 206-nucleotide ribosomal RNA is filed under the name uncultured bacterium. Its description in RNAcentral is "partial 16S ribosomal RNA". It matches the Rfam family "Bacterial small subunit ribosomal RNA", at positions 1295 to 1500 of the family's 1533-position model. The record is from RNAcentral.